UGGGGGAGGGUUGAGAUCUCACAAACAUGUUUAACCCCGCCGCAUUUUUGCGCCUGUCCCAAGUCAGGAGCCUCUGGCCUUUGUUAGUCUUGUAUUAUUUUAAUUUUAGUUUCUUGUGUACAAUUUGGAAAUUAGUAUGGCGUUCAUUAUCACUGGACUAGUAUAUAUUUGUUUAGGGGCCAGCUGAGGGACGCCUCCGGGUGCGGGAAUUUCUCGCUAC
This 220-nucleotide long non-coding RNA is filed under the name Mytilus galloprovincialis (Mediterranean mussel). Lineage: Eukaryota; Metazoa; Mollusca; Bivalvia; Mytilida; Mytilidae. The record is from RNAcentral.